RNAcentral lists this ribosomal RNA (497 nucleotides) under uncultured bacterium. RNAcentral's name for it is "partial 16S ribosomal RNA". It matches the Rfam family "Bacterial small subunit ribosomal RNA", at positions 28 to 507 of the family's 1533-position model. The record is from RNAcentral.
GAUGAACGCUGGCGGCGUGCCUAAUACAUGCAAGUCGAGCGAACAGACGAGGAGCUUGCUCCUUCGACGUUAGCGGCGGACGGGUGAGUAACACGUAGGUAACCUACCUAUAAGACUGGGAUAACUUCGGGAAACCGGAGCUAAUACCGGAUAAUAUUUCGAACCGCAUGGUUCGAUAGUGAAAGAUGGCUUUGCUAUCACUUAUAGAUGGACCUGCGCCGUAUUAGCUAGUUGGUAAGGUAACGGCUUACCAAGGCAACGAUACGUAGCCGACCUGAGAGGGUGAUCGGCCACCCUGGAAGUGAGAAACGGUCCAGACUCCUACGGGAGGCAGCAGUAGGGAAUCUUACGCAAUGGGGGAAAGCCUGACGGGGCAACGCCGCGUGAGUGAUGAAGGUGUUCGGAUCGUAAAACUCUGUUAUUAGGGGAGAACAAACGUGUAAGUAACUGUGCACGUCUUGACGGUACCUAAUCAGAAAGCCACGGCUAACUACGUG